UAGGGAAUCUUCCGCAAUGGACGCAAGUCUGACGGAGCAACGCCGCGUGAGUGAAGAAGGAUUUCGGUUCGUAAAACUCUGUUGUUAGAGAAGAACAGCGCAUAGAGUAACUGUUAUGCGUGUGACGGUAUCUAACCAGAAAGCCACGGCUAACUACGUGCCAGCAGCCGCGGUAAUACGUAGGUGGCAAGCGUUGUCCGGAUUUAUUGGGCGUAAAGCGAGCGCAGGCGGUCAAUUAAGUCUGAUGUGAAAGCCCCCGGCUCAACCGGGGAGGGUCAUUGGAAACAGGUUGACUUGAGUGCAGAAGGGGAGAGUGGAAUUCCAUGUGUAGCGGUGAAAUGCGUAGGUAUAUGGAGGAACACCAGUGGCGAAGGCGACUCUCUGGUCUGUAACUGACGCUGAGGCUCGAAAGCGUGGGUAGCAAACAGG
Molecule: ribosomal RNA, 429 nt
Filed under: Bacteroidota bacterium
Lineage: Bacteria; Pseudomonadati; Bacteroidota
Description: Bacteroidetes bacterium partial 16S ribosomal RNA
Rfam family: Bacterial small subunit ribosomal RNA
Source: RNAcentral